RNAcentral lists this ribosomal RNA (502 nucleotides) under uncultured bacterium. RNAcentral's name for it is "partial 16S ribosomal RNA". It matches the Rfam family "Bacterial small subunit ribosomal RNA", at positions 28 to 507 of the family's 1533-position model. The record is from RNAcentral.
GACGAACGCUGGCGGCGUGCCUAAUACAUGCAAGUCGAACGAACCGCGACUAGGUGCUUGCACUUGGUCAAGGUGAGUGGCGAACGGGUGAGUAACACGUGGGUAACCUACCUCAUAGUGGGGGAUAACAGUCGGAAACGACUGCUAAUACCGCAUAGGACAUAGGAUCACAUGAUUCUGUGAGGAAAGGUGGCGCAAGCUAUCGCUAAGAGAUGGACCCGCGGUGCAUUAGCUAGUUGGUAGGGUAGAGGCCUACCAAGGCGAUGAUGCAUAGCCGACCUGAGAGGGUGAUCGGCCACAUUGGGACUGAGACACGGCCCAAACUCCUACGGGAGGCAGCAGUAGGGAAUCUUCCGCAAUGGACGCAAGUCUGACGGAGCAACGCCGCGUGAGUGAAGAAGGUCUUCGGAUCGUAAAGCUCUGUUGUUAGAGAAGAACAGCGCAUAGAGUAACUGUUAUGCGUGUGACGGUAUCUAACCAGAAAGCCACGGCUAACUACGUG